GUGUCAGCCGCCGCGGUAAUACAGAGGUCCCAAGCGUUGUUCGGAUUCACUGGGCGUAAAGGGUGCGUAGGUGGUCGGGUGAGUCUGAUGUGAAAUCUCCGAGCUUAACUCGGAAACUGCAUCGGAUACUAUCCGGCUUGAGGAAUGGAGGGGAGAUUGGAAUUCUCGGUGUAGCAGUGAAAUGCGUAGAUAUCGAGAGGAACACCAGUGGCGAAGGCGGAUCUCUGGACAUUUCCUGACGCUGAGGCACGAAAGCCAGGGGAGCAAACGGGAUUAGAUACCCUCGUAGUCC
RNAcentral lists this ribosomal RNA (292 nucleotides) under uncultured bacterium. RNAcentral's name for it is "partial 16S ribosomal RNA". It matches the Rfam family "Bacterial small subunit ribosomal RNA", at positions 505 to 796 of the family's 1533-position model. The record is from RNAcentral.